CCCUAUUAUUAACGGAUAAAAAGAAAUUAGAGAGUAGGGAGGCUGAAAACCAUCUAGAAUGGCGGUUUUUUUUAUUCUCAGAUAAAUGUGUUUUGAAAACGAAAGUGCACGAACAUCUUUCUUACUCUUGAAAAUCCAUCUUGUACACCGCCGUCUGAAGGAUCAACUUAGAUAGUUAAUCCUAUUUCUCUUUCAGAAAUAAGUCAGGUAAGGUGCAGAUAAUGGGCAAGAAAAAAUGCAUUUCACUAAAAUGGCAAAGACCGUUUGAAACAAUAAAUCUAAGACGAAUUUGAAAGUAAGAUUUUUUCAUAAAAAUAAUCUGAAAUUAUACCAAAAAAAUGUACACAUCGCCCGUCGCUC
This 360-nucleotide ribosomal RNA is filed under the name Columbicola wecksteini. RNAcentral describes it as "partial 12S ribosomal RNA". Lineage: Eukaryota; Metazoa; Arthropoda; Insecta; Psocodea; Philopteridae. The record is from RNAcentral.